ACCAUACAGAAUAGGAAAAGUAGCUCUUUGUCGGUUUCUUCUUCUUUUCCAGUUCAGCGAGAGUCAAAGAGUGAAAUCAAGGCUAAGACAGAGAGGAGGUAGAGGUAACCAACCUUUGAAGGAGUGAAAUCAGGGACGGACAGUAAAUUCAUUAGCGGCUUUCUUUCCCUUGGUUACUGUGUUUGACUUCUCCUUAAUGCAAUAACUGCACACUUUGACGUAUAAUUAGAUUCUCAGAUCAAAUCUUGACUUCCUUAAUGAAAGAAGAGAUGAGAGACCGGCCAAUAAAUAGAAUAGGUUCAGGAGAGAGAGGGGAAGGAUCGAUCAUUAAUCAGGGAAUAAGGUAAUCUCAGCCUAUUUACCUUAUGUUUGAAGGGACAAGUUCAGUAGCUCAGUUCGUAAACAAGAAUGAAUCGAGAGUCUUUCCUUCCGAAUUACCGAGUCUUUGAAUAAGAAGGAGCCGGAGUGAAGUUCGUUCAGUUUCAUUCAUCUGGCUUGAUUCUUUCACUGUAAAGGCUAUUAGGAUAGGGUCCGGACCCAAUUGAAAGAAUAAAUA
Cucurbita maxima (winter squash) is the source of this 556-nucleotide long non-coding RNA. RefSeq lists it as uncharacterized. Lineage: Eukaryota; Viridiplantae; Streptophyta; Magnoliopsida; Cucurbitales; Cucurbitaceae. The record is from RefSeq and is a predicted model, not a curated record. The transcript has 3 exons.